RNAcentral lists this non-coding RNA (46 nucleotides) under Schistosoma haematobium. Lineage: Eukaryota; Metazoa; Platyhelminthes; Trematoda; Strigeidida; Schistosomatidae. The record is from RNAcentral.
GCACUGGUGAGGAGUCCCAAAAUAGGACGAAACGGCCGUCCAGUGC